AGUCGAAACGCCCUCCGGGGCGUCUGUCGGGGAUCGCCUCCCGGCACUGAAGAUUGAUAGGCGAGA
RNAcentral lists this non-coding RNA (66 nucleotides) under Erysipelotrichaceae bacterium. The record is from RNAcentral. Lineage: Bacteria; Bacillati; Bacillota; Erysipelotrichia; Erysipelotrichales; Erysipelotrichaceae.